RNAcentral lists this ribosomal RNA (500 nucleotides) under uncultured bacterium. RNAcentral describes it as "partial 16S ribosomal RNA". It matches the Rfam family "Bacterial small subunit ribosomal RNA", at positions 30 to 523 of the family's 1533-position model. The record is from RNAcentral.
AUUGAACGCUGGCGGCAUGCCUUACACAUGCAAGUCGAACGGUAACGGGUCCUUCGGGAUGCCGACGAGUGGCGAACGGGUGAGUAAUAUAUCGGAACGUGCCCAGUAGUGGGGGAUAACUGCUCGAAAGAGCAGCUAAUACCGCAUACGACCUGAGGGUGAAAGGGGGGGAUCGCAAGACCUCUCGCUAUUGGAGCGGCCGGUAUCAGACUAGCUAGUUGGUGGGGUAAAGGCCUGCCAAGGCAACGAUCUGUAGUUGGUCUGAGAGGACGGCCAGCCACACUGGGACUGAUACACGGCACAGACUCCUACGGGAGGCAGCAGUGGGGAAUUUUGGACAAUAGGCGCAAGCCUGAUCCAGCAAUGCCGCGUGCAGGAAGAAGGCCUUCGGGUUGUAAACUGCUUUUGUCAGGGAAGAAAUCUUCUGGGCUAAUACCCCGGGAGGAUGACGGUACCUGAAGAAUAAGCACCGGCUAACUACGUGCCAGCAGCCGCAGUAA